UCCUACGCACUAUUGUUGCUGGAGCCAGGAGGUAGGCUCUGAGAGCAUGUAUUGUUUGUUUUUGUUCAAGAUUGGACUUCCAAGAGCAAUUGAAAAAGUGGCCACAGUUGGACCUCAGUUUUAGCUUUGAAAUUUGAUUAAAAGGAAAGCAUUUCCUUUAGGCAAAUUGAGUAUGAACCAUGAUAUUGAAUUUUACAACUUGAUUAUUUUAUAAUUCUUUUCCUUUUUGCACAUGGUUAUUGAAUUUAAUUUAUACUUUCUAGGACUCUUCAUUUGCUCCACUACAGAAUUGAGGUUGGGAAAUUUCGGAGAAAGAGUACCUUUAAAUGAAUAUUAACAGUGGCAGCAUUUCACAGCUCACCAGGUUUGGUGUCUUUUCCACAGAUCACUAGAAAUUUUUUGUUCAAGCAAUCCAGUAAUAUAACAUCGCAAGAGGUUGCAAGGAACAAAUCUACCUGACUUCAGAUGCAACAAACACACCUGCAAGUGGAUAUGGGCUUAAUAAGAUACACUCUUCAAGAUUUUGGAAUUGGUGGUGAACUUGAAGAUGUGAAGUCUUGAGGACAGGUUGCUACUUUUGGUUUUCAUCUUUCUAAUUUCAGACAGCUCAAAGGAUCACAAAUCACUACUCUAGCUUUGGUUGCUAUUGUCACCAGUAGGAGCUACUGAACUCUCUGUUUUACAUGAAGAAUAUUAUAAAGUCCUAUGUUGAGACAACGUUGCCUGAAAGAGAGAGGAAAAGCUGGUUGCUGUGCCAUUCUUGAGGCACUCAUGUCAAUACCAGUAUUAUGUGAUCUCCAACUAGAAGAAGGUGCUAUGUGAUUGCAGAUUUUGAGACGCAAUAUGUGCAACAUGUUCAAGGCUUCUACAAAUGGUAUACUCGGCAAUUGGGUCACAUAAUUCUAUUUACCGCUUGAUUGAAGAUUUGUGAUGGUUGCUACAACCCAAGUUUACUACCCGCAAUAAAAAAUUCCAAAGAGCGAAAUUUACAUCGAAUGAGUUGCAAUGAUGAAUGUCCUGUUAACAUGUUCUGUUUACUUGAAGUUUAAACCUCCCUUUGCACAGUUAUACUAUGAAGAGCAUGGUGCCCCAAAACUCCAAUUUUCAGCACCUAUAUUUGGUUGAAAAAAAAUUCUGUAGGCAAUUUGUAUGAUAUCAUUUGUGAUUGUGACAUGUCUAGAACUUUUUCAUUUUCCGUGAGUUUUCUAGGAUGUCUUCCAAAAAUAUUUUCCCGAAUUUGUCUUCCUUGGUUACUUCUUCAAUGCUAUCAAGU
This is a long non-coding RNA of Quercus robur (English oak), 1273 nucleotides long. RefSeq lists it as uncharacterized. Lineage: Eukaryota; Viridiplantae; Streptophyta; Magnoliopsida; Fagales; Fagaceae. The record is from RefSeq and is a predicted model, not a curated record. The transcript has 4 exons.